Molecule: ribosomal RNA, 318 nt
Filed under: Triticum aestivum (bread wheat)
Lineage: Eukaryota; Viridiplantae; Streptophyta; Magnoliopsida; Poales; Poaceae
Description: partial small subunit ribosomal RNA
Source: RNAcentral
AUGGCGAGGAGAGGGGGGGUUGUGGAGAUAGUGAGCGAUGGAACCCUGCUGCAGUUGAGGACGAAGCAGGAGAAGCGCUGGUGGCAGAAUGACAUCGGCGGCGUGCUUGCCGAUGCCUGCGUCGGAGGAGAUUGUGAAGGCAACGGAGAAGACGGCGAAGAGGAGGUGUCAGAUGCGCUGGGGGUGGCCGGCACCGGUGGCCACCGCGCCAGAUCGGCUCCACCGCCGCCGGCCGGCGGUGCGCGCCCCUUUUCUCUGGAGAUUGGGUGGAUGAGCCGACAGAGAGAUUGGGCAGAAUAUAGAAGGCCUUAUCUGUAA